GCCCAGGUAGCUCAGUCGGUAGAGCACGUCCUUGGUAAGGACGAGGUCGGCGGUUCGAUCCCGCUCCUGGGCU
Non-coding RNA from Deltaproteobacteria bacterium, 73 nucleotides. Lineage: Bacteria; Pseudomonadati; Myxococcota; Myxococcia. The record is from Rfam.